GAGAUCAGGAAGACUUAGAAGAAGUUGAUUGUUUUUGCAGUAAGAGAUCAAGGAUUCACUUGCUUUCUUUUCCAUGAAAAACAUGAAAGCUGGAAUGAAGUUUUAUUGGAAGUGAUGCACCUUCACUGCCAAUAGCAAUCAAAUGAGUAAUGGAGUGACAGAAGGAGUAACUCAAAAGCUCAGAUAAGGCUGUAGCAUCAUGCCUGGAAAUGAGAGUGUUCCUGUCAGAAUGAGGAUGGAUCAUCAGUCUUGAAUACCUGAAGCUUAGGUAUCAUGCAAGACCACUCCUGUUCAUCCAAAGAUGACCAUCUGUAAAGGAGCUGUUGGCAGAAGUCCCUGUUGUCUGCUGAAACCUGGAUCUUCCAU
Long non-coding RNA from Apus apus (common swift), 366 nucleotides. RefSeq lists it as uncharacterized. The record is from RefSeq and is a predicted model, not a curated record. Lineage: Eukaryota; Metazoa; Chordata; Aves; Apodiformes; Apodidae. The transcript has 3 exons.